RNAcentral lists this small RNA (59 nucleotides) under Escherichia coli 908541. RNAcentral describes it as "SraD RNA". It matches the Rfam family "MicA sRNA", at positions 11 to 72 of the family's 75-position model. Lineage: Bacteria; Pseudomonadati; Pseudomonadota; Gammaproteobacteria; Enterobacterales; Enterobacteriaceae. The record is from RNAcentral.
CAUUUGUUAUCAUCAUCCCUGAAUUCAGAGAUGAAAUUUUGGCCACUCACGAGUGGCCU